Long non-coding RNA from Papaver somniferum (opium poppy), 335 nucleotides. RefSeq lists it as uncharacterized. The record is from RefSeq and is a predicted model, not a curated record. Lineage: Eukaryota; Viridiplantae; Streptophyta; Magnoliopsida; Ranunculales; Papaveraceae. The transcript is spliced from 2 exons.
CUCGGAUUCCGGUUUGUCUCGGUCCCGAGCGAGACACUGGUACAACGUUGUCUCGGGGAGAUUCCGUUUCCAAAUCUCGGUGUAAUCUCGGUUCAAACUUUUAUAUAUAUAAUUUGAUGGUUUAAUGGACAGAUUAUUACACUUCAUAUUACUGGAGCACUGAAUGCAGUGUUGUCUGCUGAGCAUAAACAAGAGAUGUGUCGUUGUCUUUACAAUCAUCAGAUGGGGGUUGGGGUCUACAUACUGAAGGACCAAGUACAAUGUUCGGUUCAUGCCUAAACUAUGUUACUAUGAGAUUGCUUGGAGAAGGAGCUGAUGAUGGAGAAGGGGCAAUG